UGGAGGUAAGUUAAAAUGCUGUGUUUUUUUUCCUCUCCCUGUUCAAUUUCACUCGGAAGAUGAUCCCACGAGAAGCAGUGCCCAUGCACUGUAGCACGUACGUGAUAUGGAGAACGCCCUGUGAGCCGCAGGUUAUGAUCUGAAGCUCCAGGAAGAAUUUGCCGUAACAUGAGACGAAUUUGUGUCGAAAGGAUUGAACUUGGUUUGUGAGCUUUCUUAAGAGCUUUUAGCACGAUUUCAGUGAAAAGAAGUGAAGAUUGAGAUGAUCAAAAAAAGAAAGAAAAAGAAUAGAUGGUAUUGGAAGGGCUUAUUUAUGUUGAGAAGCGUGUUUAAGAUGUUUUCACAAGGCGGGGAGCUCGAGAAGAGCGUGUGGGAACUUGUCGUGGGGCUGCUUCAUCUAGUUAGGUAAAAUAAUCAUCCUAAAUUAAGAAGAAUAAUUCUCUAUGGGUUUUCAUGCGAUUCCAAGUUUGACAUUACUGCUUUUAUAAUUUCCUACAUAUUGUGGAUGAAUAACUGCAAUGAAUACAUGAAUGUAAAUUGAUCGCCCUUACAAUACAUAUAAUUUUACUAUGUAUGAAACUGACGAAUACACUUAUGAAAUCAUUUCCUGCAGGCAUUUGAUUGUUAUGAUUCAUGCCUACGAUAUAUGAAAUGAUUGAUAAAUGUUAAUUACAAGAAUUAUGCUUAUAAAAGUGAUGUUAUAUGUAGACAAUUACAGGAGUAUUUGCAAGUACAAAUGAUAGGGAUGUGAGAUUCUUGACUUCUAAUAUUUAGGUGGUGAUGAAACUUUGGAAACCAUUAUGAUCAAACCGUGAACGUACAGAACUAUUAGUAUGAGGGGGCUGUUGAUGACUACUAUAUUUGGAGAGAAGAACCUUUACCAAUUAUUAAUAUGGUCUUUGGUACAGGACGACGACUCGUAAUAUAAUAGGACACGAAAAUAAUUGAUGAUUAUACAUUGCACAAAUUAUAUUGCUAUGAUGCUAUGAUUAUAUGGCUAUGUUGACAUUGCUAUGGCGACUUUGUUAUGAUUAUGAACAUGUUUAUGAAUACAUGCUUAUGACUACACAUGAAUGAAAUGACAUACAUGUUUUAUACAAAAUGCAUGAUUUUCUACACUACAUGUAUUUCUUUUAUGCGUUUUAUGAUGAUAUCCCAAUUGAAGUGUGCAAAUAUUUGGGAA
Molecule: long non-coding RNA, 1183 nt
Organism: Phalaenopsis equestris
Lineage: Eukaryota; Viridiplantae; Streptophyta; Magnoliopsida; Asparagales; Orchidaceae
Exons: 3
Source: RefSeq, a predicted model, not a curated record